UACGUAGGGUGCAGGCGUUAAUCGGAAUUACUGGGCGUAAAGCGUGCGCAGGCGGUUUGCUAAGACAGGUGUGAAAUCCCCGGGCUUAACCUGGGAACUGCGCUUGUAACUGGCAAGCUGGAGUGUGGCAGAGGGGGGUGGAAUUCCACGUGUAGCAGUGAAAUGCGUAGAGAUGUGGAGGAACACCGAUGGCGAAGGCAGCCCCCUGGGCUAACACUGACGCUCAUGCACGAAAGCGUGGGGAGCAAACAGG
This 253-nucleotide ribosomal RNA is filed under the name uncultured bacterium. Its description in RNAcentral is "partial 16S ribosomal RNA". It matches the Rfam family "Bacterial small subunit ribosomal RNA", at positions 524 to 776 of the family's 1533-position model. The record is from RNAcentral. RNAcentral also lists the same sequence under 1 other name.